RNAcentral lists this ribosomal RNA (506 nucleotides) under Candida albicans. RNAcentral's name for it is "eukaryotic LSU rRNA". The stretch from base 139 to 292 matches the Rfam family "5.8S ribosomal RNA". The record is from RNAcentral. Lineage: Eukaryota; Fungi; Ascomycota; Pichiomycetes; Serinales; Debaryomycetaceae.
CGGAUUGGCUUAUUGCACCACAUGUGUUUUUCUUUGAAACAAACUUGCUUUGGCGGUGGGCCCAGCCUGCCGCCAGAGGUCUAAACUUACAACCAAUUUUUUAUCAACUUGUCACACCAGAUUAUUACUAAUAGUCAAAACUUUCAACAACGGAUCUCUUGGUUCUCGCAUCGAUGAAGAACGCAGCGAAAUGCGAUACGUAAUAUGAAUUGCAGAUAUUCGUGAAUCAUCGAAUCUUUGAACGCACAUUGCGCCCUCUGGUAUUCCGGAGGGCAUGCCUGUUUGAGCGUCGUUUCUCCCUCAAACCGCUGGGUUUGGUGUUGAGCAAUACGACUUGGGUUUGCUUGAAAGACGGUAGUGGUAAGGCGGGAUCGCUUUGACAAUGGCUUAGGUCUAACCAAAAACAUUGCUUGCGGCGGUAACGUCCACCACGUAUAUCUUCAAACUUUGACCUCAAAUCAGGUAGGACUACCCGCUGAACUUAAGCAUAUCAAUAAGCGGAGGAA